UGAGUAAGACAGAUAAUCGCUGCUGCUAUUGCCGAAAGGACGCAGGAGAGGAAAGUCCGGGCUUCGCAGGGCAGGAUGCCGGCUAACGGCCGGUGGAGGUGACUCCCAGGAAAGUGCAACAGAAAUAAAACCGCCUUUUUAGGUAAGGAUGAAAUGGCAGUGUAAGAGACUACCGCUUUGGUGGUAACAUCAAAGGUCAAUGUAAACCCCAUCCGAAGCANNNNNNNNNNNNNNNNAUCCGAAGCAAGACCGAGCAGAAAGCAUAUGGUGGCCCGCCAGCUUUCGGGUAGGUUGCUUGAACUUGUUGGCAACAAUAAGUCUAGAUAGAUGAUUAUCCAAGACAUAACCCGGCUUACAGUCUUGCUCGCAUU
RNAcentral lists this RNase P RNA (371 nucleotides) under Eubacterium sp. CAG:161. RNAcentral describes it as "Bacterial RNase P class A". It matches the Rfam family "Bacterial RNase P class A". Rfam says of the family: Ribonuclease P (RNase P) is a ubiquitous endoribonuclease, found in archaea, bacteria and eukarya as well as chloroplasts and mitochondria. Its best characterised activity is the generation of mature 5'-ends of tRNAs by cleaving the 5'-leader elements of precursor-tRNAs. Lineage: Bacteria; Bacillati; Bacillota; Clostridia; Eubacteriales; Eubacteriaceae. The record is from Rfam by way of RNAcentral.